RNAcentral lists this ribosomal RNA (407 nucleotides) under uncultured bacterium. Its description in RNAcentral is "partial 16S ribosomal RNA". It matches the Rfam family "Bacterial small subunit ribosomal RNA", at positions 30 to 526 of the family's 1533-position model. The record is from RNAcentral.
AUUGAACGCUGGCGGCAGGCCUAACACAUGCAAGUCGAGCGGAGCGGCGGACGGGUGAGUAAUGCCUAGGAAUCUGCCUGGUAGUGGGGGACACCGUCCGGAAACGGGCGCUAAUACCGCAUACUAUCAGAUGAGCCUAGGUCGGAUAAGCUAGAUGGUGGGGUAAAGGUCUACCAAGGCGACGAUCCGUAACUAGGCUGAGAGGAUGAUCAGUCACACUGGAACUGAGACACGGUCCAGACUCCUACGGGAGGCAGCAGUGGGGAAUAUUGGACAAUGGACGAAAGCCUGAUCGAGCAAUGCCGCGUGGGUGAAGAAGGUCUUCGGAUUGUAAAACACUGUAAGUAGGGAGGCGUUACCAACAGAGUAAGCACCGGCUAACUUCGUGCCAGCAGCCGCGGUAAUUC